This 177-nucleotide ribosomal RNA is filed under the name Triticum aestivum (bread wheat). Its description in RNAcentral is "partial small subunit ribosomal RNA". Lineage: Eukaryota; Viridiplantae; Streptophyta; Magnoliopsida; Poales; Poaceae. The record is from RNAcentral.
CAAACACUAAAGUUUGGUUACAGAUGGAAAAUUGGCUCAGGGGCUAAAGUCAGAUUCUGGGAAGAUACCUGGUUUGGUACCUCCCCUCUGUCUGUGCAGUUCUGGCCGAUCUACUCCAUUUGUAAUGAGCAGACUAAGAGUGCUUGUGAGGUUUGGGAUGGGAAUCAACUCAAAUUA